This 1595-nucleotide long non-coding RNA is filed under the name Equus caballus (horse). Its description in RNAcentral is "lncRNA (ENSECAG00000055075.1)". Lineage: Eukaryota; Metazoa; Chordata; Mammalia; Perissodactyla; Equidae. The record is from RNAcentral.
CUUGCCCACCAGGCUUGGCCCACUGGCACUCCAGUGAAGGUUUUACUGCUUGCCUGUGCUGUCCUGUACUUCCCUGACCACCAGCUCAGCCCAGUAACUGCGGGCCAGUUCUGGCUCAGGGCAGCCCAGCAAACUUCCCCACAGCCUAGUGGGUUACAAUCGCAACCUCUUCAAGAAGGCUGGAAUCUCAUAUCUGAGAUCUUUGGGGAUAGGUAAUUGGUUGCAGUGUUUCUCGGAAAGAAGUAGAUGGGCAGGCUACUAAAAUAUUUCUUGAUCUAUGUAACAGAAAAAUCUGUAAGUCUGGCCAAAAACCUGACUUGAGUAGCCAGUUUCCAGACCUAAGUCAGGGCACAGACCCAGAGCCUCUUGACCGAAAGGGACCCUGGAGCCCCUUGAGGAAGGCCUCUGCUGCAUUUUUACAAGUAGGCGCUGUGAAUCUUCUUCUAAUCCUCAUCCAAAGGACAUCAGGCCAGUUACGGGAGGGAUUGUGCAAGACUCAAACAUUUUGAAGAUUACUGGACACCGGCUGUGAAUUGACACUAAUUCCUGGGCAUCCAAAAUGUGGCUCUGAUCUACCAGUCAAAGUGGGGGCUAUAGUGAUCAAGUAACAGAUAGAGCCUUAGCUGAAGUUUAACUCACACUGGGCCUAAUUCAUCCACAGACCCAGCUUGUGGGUUAUUUCCCCAGAUCUUGAAUGUAUAACUGUAAUACACUUACUUGGAAACUGGAAGUAUCCCCCACAUUGACUCUUAGACCCACAGGAUGAGAGUCAUUAUGGUAAGGCUAAAUAGAAACACCUGGAACUGCCCCUUCAUACCAAGCUAAUAAAUCAGAAGCAGUAUUGUAUCUCUGGGGAAAUUCCAGAGAUUUAUGCCAAUAUCCAUCAUUGAAAGAAGUCAGAGUGGUGAUACCUAUCAUGUUCCCUUUUAACUCACCUGUUUGGCCUGUGCAGACAUUGGACGAUUAUUGGAGAAUAACUGUGGUUUGUCAUAAACUGAAUCAGGCAGUGAUUCCAAAUGCAGCUGUCGUCUCUGUUGAACCUUUACUGGAGCAAAUCAGUGCAAUUCCCAGCCUUUGCUCUCCUCUUCAUCUGUAAAGAAGGUGAAUGCUGAUGUCCCUCCAGUAAGAAAGAAAGACCCCAGGCCACCCUGAGUCACAGUUCUCCUUCUAUAGCAGCCAAACUCCUGGCACUGGAUGCAAGAACUCCAUCAGGCCGUGUUGGCCUCCUGGACACAGAUGCUCCCCAGACAUCCCCGAGACCAUGCCAGGAGGAAGGCCACUGCUUGUGAGGGCUACCUGGAUGGAAGCAUAUCUCUCAGGGGUGGAAGUGCCCGAUUAAAAUGACUUUGUUUCCAAUUUCUGACUCUAGAACAGUGUUUCUCAUCUUUCUAUGAUGGAAGAUCCCAAUUAUUUCAUUAUUUGGUUCUCAGACUUCAUUUCUCAUCUAAUAAUAUUGUUAAUCAAUCCACUCUUCUCCCAUAAACACUUAUAUCCCUGAUUCAAUUUCUGGUCAUUCUGACUUUUACUCAUUUUUUUUGUAAGUUCAUCUCGACUCUUCAUGGAUGUCCAUUUUAUCUGUCUUGUUUUUUACCUAG